RNAcentral lists this ribosomal RNA (497 nucleotides) under uncultured bacterium. RNAcentral describes it as "partial 16S ribosomal RNA". It matches the Rfam family "Bacterial small subunit ribosomal RNA", at positions 28 to 507 of the family's 1533-position model. The record is from RNAcentral.
GAUGAACGCUGGCGGCGUGCCUAAUACAUGCAAGUCGAGCGAACAGACGAGGAGCUUGCUCCUCUGACGUUAGCGGCGGACGGGUGAGUAACACGUGGAUAACCUACCUAUAAGACUGGGAUAACUUCGGGAAACCGGAGCUAAUACCGGAUAAUAUAUUGAACCGCAUGGUUCAAUAGUGAAAGACGGUUUUGCUGUCACUUAUAGAUGGAUCCGCGCCGCAUUAGCUAGUUGGUAAGGUAACGGCUUACCAAGGCAACGAUGCGUAGCCGACCUGAGAGGGGGAUCGGCCACACUGGAACUGAGACACGGUCAAGACUCCUACGGGAGGCAGCAGUAGGGAAUCUUCCGCAAUGGGCGAAAGCCUGACGGAGCAACGCCGCGUGAGUGAUGAAGGUCUUCGGAUCGUAAAACUCUGUUAUUAGGGAAGAACAAAUGUGUAAGUAACUAUGCACGUCUUGACGGUACCUAAUCAGAAAGCCACGGCUAACUACGUG